GACGAACGCUGGCGGCGUGCUUAACACAUGCAAGUCGAACGAAGAGCGACGGAAGCUUGCUUCUAUCAAUCUUAGUGGCGCACGGGUGAGUAACGCGUAAUCAACCUUCCCUUCAGAGGGGGACAACAGUUGGAAACGACUGCUAAUACCGCAUACGAUCUAACCUCGGCAUCGAGGAGAGAUGAAAGGUGGCCUCUACAUGUAAGCUAUCACUGAAGGAGGGGAUUGGGUCUGAUUAGCUAGGUGGAGGGGUAACGGCCCACCAAGGCGAUGAUCAGUAGCCUGUCUGAGAGGAUGGACGGCCACCUUGGGACUGAGACACGGCCCAGACUCCUACGGGAGGCAGCAGUGGGGAAACUUCCGCCAUGGACGGAAGUCUGGCGGAGCAACGCCGGGGUGGGGAUGGCGGCCCUCGGGUUGGAAAGCUCUGUUAAUCGGGACGAAAGGCCUUCUUGCGAAUAGGGAGAAGGAUUGACGGUACCGGAAGAGAAAGCCACGGCUAACUACGUG
RNAcentral lists this ribosomal RNA (510 nucleotides) under uncultured bacterium. Its description in RNAcentral is "partial 16S ribosomal RNA". It matches the Rfam family "Bacterial small subunit ribosomal RNA", at positions 28 to 507 of the family's 1533-position model. The record is from RNAcentral.